AAAGAUUGGUACACGGAGAAAGGAGAGAGAGAUCAACAGAAAAGAGAGAGAAACAGAGAGACAGAGAUAGAGAGAAGGGCGCCACCCAGAUCUUCUACCAUCACCAUAUCCCCAAUCAAAAGUUCAAACUCACUCUAAUUUCAGUUUCUCCUCCUAUGAAUACUCUCUCUUUUCGCUCCCUUUUAAAUUUUCUUAACACCAAAGCUUGCGAUGCGGAGAUAGAGAAGGAGGAAAAAAAAACCUUGCGAUACAGAGAUGAGAAGGAGACAGAAUUCGUACGCACCACCGUCCGUUCCCCUGCCAAAAUUAUACCACCAAAACCGGCACCGGUAACCUAAAGGUACAUGCAGGAAUUGAGAUACGGACAUAGAGAGAACUACCAUCGGGUUAUAUAUGAUUUAGGUUUGGAGAGGGCAAAGACAGAGAAAUAAGAGAAAACGUGAGUUCGUUAUUCAGAAAGAGCAUUAGUAACCAGAGAAAUCAGACAUCUUCCUAUCAGAAUGCCAGAAACCUUUAUCGUUGAAAGGCAGAAAUUUGAGACUAUAAAGCACAGAUAGAGUGACAUCUGAACCUCCGCCAGUCAGACUACUGGAAUCGUUACUGGUAAAGUUCUGAUUAUAUUCCUAUUUAAAUACAAUAUCCUGCUUCUAGCCAAAUUGUUUUUGUCUGCUACCGUCCAUACACCAAUCUUCCUCUCUCCAAUUUAUCCUAUCUGACCCUCUUCAGAAAUUUUAAAUAUUUACUAUCGAGUAUCACCAAAUGCAUUCAAUGAUGACAAGCACUGGACUUCUCAAUGACACAUCAAAGAUAUUCAGUGACUCAAUAUUGUUUCACCAAGCAGGAAAUGAUGCAACCCAAACUAACAUGGCUUAAAUCGCAUCAGGAUUGAAAGCUUGAACAACCAAGGCUAGAUUGAAUGCAACCCCUGGCAGUGCCUCAAGAUUGGGAGCAACACCAUAAACGUUUUUUUUUUUGCUUCAUCCUGAUGCCAAACUCAAGAUUUAAUGUCAAAAUCAAAGUUUGAGAGGGAAUUUGCAGCUUGAAAGUGGAUGGAUUAAUUUCAUUUUGUACGUUAAUAGCAAUUUCCCAUUUUGAUUUGCAAGGACAUUCUCACAAAUUUAGAGACUACUAUGCCCCUCUUGGCAGAUAUGUUCUGAGUAACCUACUUACAAUGAACAUAAAGCAUAAUAUUAAAUUUGUAUCAACAAAAAUGGUGUCCUCACACACUAUAAAUAAAAGAAACAGAGGAAACAUAAAUUUUUUAUAGUUAUAUUUUUUUCAGCUUCUUUCAUUCCUGUUGUAACAGAGACAGAACUAAGUAAAACAUGCAAAAGGUUAAAUUUUAUUUGAAUAUUCAUGUUUUAUCAAUAA
Quercus lobata is the source of this 1371-nucleotide long non-coding RNA. RefSeq lists it as uncharacterized. The record is from RefSeq and is a predicted model, not a curated record. The transcript is spliced from 5 exons. NCBI's taxonomy places the organism in Eukaryota, Viridiplantae, Streptophyta, Magnoliopsida, Fagales, Fagaceae.